Molecule: ribosomal RNA, 277 nt
Filed under: uncultured prokaryote
Description: partial 16S ribosomal RNA
Rfam family: Bacterial small subunit ribosomal RNA
Source: RNAcentral
UACGUAGGUGGCAAGCGUUGUCCGGAUUUAUUGGGCGUAAAGGGAGCGCAGGUGGUUUCUUAAGUCUGAUGUGAAAGCCCACGGCUUAACCGUGGAGGGUCAUUGGAAACUGGGGAACUUGAGUGCAGAAGAGGAAAGUGGAAUUCCAAGUGUAGCGGUGGAAUGCGUAGAUAUUUGGAGGAACACCAGUGGCGAAGGCGACUUUCUGGUCUGUAACUGACACUGAGGCUCGAAAGCGUGGGGAGCGAACAGGAGUUAGAUACCCUGGUAGCCCUGA